RNAcentral lists this transfer RNA (77 nucleotides) under Sphingomicrobium sp. RNAcentral describes it as "tRNA-Arg". It matches the Rfam family "tRNA". From Rfam's summary of the family: Transfer RNA (tRNA) molecules are approximately 80 nucleotides in length. Their secondary structure includes four short double-helical elements and three loops (D, anti-codon, and T loops). Further hydrogen bonds mediate the characteristic L-shaped molecular structure. tRNAs have two regions of fundamental functional importance: the anti-codon, which is responsible for specific mRNA codon recognition, and the 3' end, to which the tRNAs corresponding amino acid is attached (by aminoacyl-tRNA synthetases). tRNAs cope with the degeneracy of the genetic code in two manners: having more than one tRNA (with a specific anti-codon) for a particular amino acid; and 'wobble' base-pairing, i.e. permitting non-standard base-pairing at the 3rd anti-codon position. RNAcentral also lists the same sequence under 2 other names. Lineage: Bacteria; Pseudomonadati; Pseudomonadota; Alphaproteobacteria; Sphingomonadales; Sphingomicrobiaceae. The record is from RNAcentral.
GCGCCCGUAGCUCAGCUGGAUAGAGCACGUGCCUUCUAAGCAUGAGGUCGCUGGUUCGAAUCCAGCCGGGCGCGCCA